CCUACGGGCGGCAGCAGUGGGGGAUAUUGCACAAUGGGGGGAACCCUGAUGCAGCGACGCCGCGUGGGUGAAGAAGCGCCUCGGCGCGUAAAGCCCUGUCAGCAGGGAAGAAAAUGACGGUACCUGAAGAAGAAGCCCCGGCUAACUACGUGCCAGCAGCCGCGGUAAUACGUAGGGGGCAAGCGUUAUCCGGAUUUACUGGGUGUAAAGGGGGCGCAGACGGCGAUGCAAGCCAGGAGUGAAAGCCCGGGGCCCAACCCCGGGACUGCUCUUGGAACUGCGUGGCUUGAGUGAUGGAGAGGCAGGCGGAAUUCCCGGUGUAGCGGUGGAAUGCGUAGAUAUCGGGAGGAACACCAGUGGCGAAGGCGGCCUGCUGGACAUUAACUGACGCUGAGGCGCGAAAGCGUGGGGAGCAAACAGGAUUAGAUACCCUUGUAGUC
This 440-nucleotide ribosomal RNA is filed under the name uncultured bacterium. RNAcentral's name for it is "partial 16S ribosomal RNA". It matches the Rfam family "Bacterial small subunit ribosomal RNA", at positions 338 to 795 of the family's 1533-position model. The record is from RNAcentral.